Molecule: small nuclear RNA, 107 nt
Organism: Ailuropoda melanoleuca (giant panda)
Lineage: Eukaryota; Metazoa; Chordata; Mammalia; Carnivora; Ursidae
Source: Ensembl
GUGCUCACUUGGGCAGGACAUAUACUAAAAUUGGAAUGAUACAGAGAAGAUUAGCAUUGCCCCUAUGCAAGGAUGACAUGGAAAUGCAUGAAGUGUUCCAUAUUUUU